UGGGGAAUUUUGGACAAUGGGCGAAAGCCUGAUCCAGCAAUGCCGCGUGUGUGAAGAAGGCCUUCGGGUUGUAAAGCACUUUUGUCCGGAAAGAAAUCCUUGGCUCUAAUACAGUCGGGGGAUGACGGUACCGGAAGAAUAAGCACCGGCUAACUACGUGCCAGCAGCCGCGGUAAUACGUAGGGUGCAAGCGUUAAUCGGAAUUACUGGGCGUAAAGCGUGCGCAGGCGGUUUGCUAAGACCGAUGUGAAAUCCCCGGGCUCAACCUGGGAACUGCAUUGGUGACUGGCAGGCUAGAGUAUGGCAGAGGGGGGUAGAAUUCCACGUGUAGCAGUGAAAUGCGUAGAGAUGUGGAGGAAUACCGAUGGCGAAGGCAGCCCCCUGGGCCAAUACUGACGCUCAUGCACGAAAGCGUGGGGAGCAAACAGGAUUAGAUACCCUGGUAGUCCACGCCCUAAACGAUGUCAACUAGUUGUUGGGGAUUCAUUUCCUUGUAACGUAGCUAACGCGUGAAGUUGUCCGCCUGGGGAGUACGGGUCGCAAGAUUAAAACUCAAAUGAAUUGACGGGGUCAUAGCUGUUUCC
Molecule: ribosomal RNA, 584 nt
Filed under: uncultured bacterium
Lineage: Bacteria
Description: partial 16S ribosomal RNA
Rfam family: Bacterial small subunit ribosomal RNA
Source: RNAcentral